RNAcentral lists this ribosomal RNA (723 nucleotides) under uncultured eukaryote. RNAcentral describes it as "SSU rRNA". It matches the Rfam family "Eukaryotic small subunit ribosomal RNA", at positions 672 to 1426 of the family's 1831-position model. The record is from RNAcentral.
GGUAUCGCCGUUAGUCAUGUGCAAAUAUGGAUAGCUGUUUUAGCCGUCUUUAUUGACUGGUUUAUAAGAGUUAUCAGAUAUCACUUUGAUUAAAUUAGAGUGCUUAAAGCAAGUGUGUUACUUGGAUAUAAAUGCAUGGAAUGAUGGAAUAUGUUGUUAUUCUAUUUGUUGGUUUUUGAAUGAUAAAAUGAUUGAAAGGAACUGUUGGGGGCAUUCGUAUUGUUGUGAGAGAGGUGAAAUUCUUAGACCACAGCAAGACGAACUACUGCGAAAGCAUUUGCCAAGAAUGUUUUCAUUGAUCAAGAACGAAAGUUAGAGGUUCGAAGGCGAUCAGAUACCGCUCUAGUUCUAACCAUAAACUAUGCCAACUAGCAAUUUGCUUAUGUAUGUUUUAUGACUAGGUGAGAGGCCACGGGAAACCAAAGUAGGGUUAUGGGGGAAGUAUGGUUGCAAAGCUGAAACUUAAAGGAAUUGACGGAAGGGCACCACCAGGAGUGGAGCCUGCGGCUUAAUUUGACUCAACACGGGAAAACUUACCUGGUCCUGACACUAGAAGGAUCGACAGAUUGAUAGCUCUUUCUUGAUUUGGUGGAUGGUGGUGCAUGGCCGUUCUUAGUUGGUGGAGUGAUUUGUCUGGUUAAUUCCGAUAACGAACGAGACUCUAGCCUAUUAAAUAACACACAGAAUCAUGUCUUCUGCGGUGUUUCUUAAUGGGAUCAAGUG